RNAcentral lists this ribosomal RNA (479 nucleotides) under uncultured bacterium. Its description in RNAcentral is "bacterial SSU rRNA". It matches the Rfam family "Bacterial small subunit ribosomal RNA", at positions 39 to 507 of the family's 1533-position model. The record is from RNAcentral.
GCUACAGGCUUAACACAUGCAAGUCGAGGGGCAUCACAGAGAUAGCUUGCUAUCUUGGGUGGCGACCGGCGCACGGGUGAGUAACGCGUAUCCAACCUGCCCAUUACUCAGGGAUAGCCUUGCGAAAGUAAGAUUAAUACCUGAUGUUGUUUGAUUGCCGCAUGACGAUCAAACCAAAGAUUUAUUGGUAAUGGAUGGGGAUGCGUGACAUUAGGUAGUUGGUGAGGUAACGGCUCACCAAGCCCACGAUGUCUAGGGGUUCUGAGAGGAAGGUCCCCCACACUGGAACUGAGACACGGUCCAGACUCCUACGGGAGGCAGCAGUGAGGAAUAUUGGUCAAUGGUCGGAAGACUGAACCAGCCAAGUAGCGUGAAGGAUGAAGGUUCUAUGGAUUGUAAACUUCUUUUAUAUAGGAAUAAAACCUCCCACGUGUGGGAGCUUGUAUGUACUAUAUGAAUAAGCAUCGGCUAACUCCGUG